UUCAGAAAGCUCCACAGAUGGUUUAGCAGAGUAGCGUGCGCAAGUCCACAUGGGACAGUUAUUACAACUUUGAGUCCACACUGGACUGAAGUGGUCAAGAGUACCUGUUAUUAUGUCCUCUGGCAAGGAAGCGUGAAGACAUACUGAGCCUGGGGACUCUGCUCUGCUCAGCUGUGGACAGACAUCAAGUAUUAUUAAAAAAACAAAAAGGAUGAUGGAGACAGUGGCAAAGAAAGGUGAAAACACUCAGUGACAGAGAGCACAAGAAAGAGAAUAAAGAACAGAGGAGGUAACGUGAGUCCAUGGGAGUCACCAGAAGUACUGAGGACAUGACUGUUUCUCACCUGUCGCCUGACACAGAGAUCAAAUGCUUGCAGUCAUUGAGUGUCCAAACAUGGUGGCGACACACUCCCCUGUGAAGAAGUCAAAGAUGCUGAUGUUUUUAUCGGAGCAGCUGGUGGCCACAUAUUGACCAGAUGGAUCAAGCUGAACCUGUCAGGACAAAAACAGUUUUACCAUCAACAUGCUGUUUAUAUUUAUACAAUACCUGACACUUUUGAGUUUUUGAACAGUGACUGUGAACGAAAAUGUUACCCUGAGCAGACUGCCAUCCUCACUCACAGAUCCCUUGUAGAGUUUCUUCUGUUUGCCACUGCUGAUGUUGAA
Molecule: long non-coding RNA, 666 nt
Organism: Notolabrus celidotus (New Zealand spotty)
Lineage: Eukaryota; Metazoa; Chordata; Actinopteri; Labriformes; Labridae
Exons: 3
Source: RefSeq, a predicted model, not a curated record